AGAGUAAUGUAAUACAAGUAAGUGUUGAAAAUAAGCACCUUUAUGAUAGUGCCUAUUUUAGGAUUAAGUUCAUAUUAUUUUAUUUUUGUAUUUCCUUUGAUUUGCAGUCCAUGUGCUAAACAUUACAUACUUUUUAGUGGAAGUAUCUUCAAAGAAUGUUGAAACAAACCAUUUUUAUUAUGAGUGUGACACUCUCCUCUUUCCUUCUUGUUUUCCCUUCCCCUUCGAAGGAUCCAUGCCAGACGUGUGGAACUCCAAAUGGGGGGGGGGUGGGUGGUGUUGGUGUCCAAAUUCUGCUGCAAUGCUUCCUGUAUGUGUGAGGACCUUUUUUCUGUCUUAGUCCUUGUCCACACACAUCAACACCACAAGAAAAGGAGGGAAGAGGAGAAGGAGUUCAUUGAGUACUUCAAAAUUUGACUUCUUUAGGACCUGAGGGUUAUGUGACCAUCCUCAUUCAAAUGUACAGCAUGCCAUCUAUUAGUUCCCCACCAGGUACAGAGAGAUUCCAAGCAUCUUUCUGUAAAACUUAUUAAGACUAGUCCCCAGAAUGUAUACAUUCUUCUAAGCCCUUCUUCCAAGAAUCUGAUCACUCAGACCUUGCUAUUCAGCAGGUGGACCAAGAUCAGUUUUAUUUUUUUUCUUUUUGUUUACCAAUUAUAUUUAUGUUGGAGGCUUCAGUAAAUAUUGAAUUCAUGCCUUGCAUAAGCUGUAUGAAUAUCCUAGGAUAAUUCAAAAUCCAUGAUCUGAAUGAAUGGUUUGGUAAGCAUUCAUGAUGACUAAGAUCCAACCCCAAUUUGUUCACCAUGGGCAGAAACUUUCUGAUCUAACACUCCCCCUUGCUCCAUCUCUCAUUCUCCAUUUACUGAACUAUGGAACUCAUGUCUGAAGAGAGGGCUGGCUGUGGGAGAGGUGAGGAGGCCCUCCUCUGCCCUUUUUGGCACUCUGACACACAGUUGUAUGUAAGCUUUGGAGAAUGCUACACCACUCUUUUUGGUUUCCUGUGGGGAGCAAUGAGAAGGUGUAGGGUUCAAUCAAAACCUGUCAUGGAAUAAAAGACACGUUACUUUCUUACUUCUGACAUUAUGCAACUCCUGCAUCAUGAGUUUUAGGGGCAUUUGAAUUAAAAUGAGGUACUUCAUAUAUAGAGAUAUUAGAGAAAUAAAAAAUAAUGAUAUUACAAUCUGUAACAAAUUCACACAAAGGAAAAAUAACAUAAAUCAAGAGAAAGGUAAUAGUAAUAAAUAUUCUGAAAAUGUCCAUUGGGAUUCCAUUUCCAGAUAUUCUGCUAAUAAACAUAAAAACAAGGAUUUGUAUUAUAACCAUCAGGAAAGAGUCUAUUGGAAUUGAAGCAAGAGAAGAGGAAGAGAGAUUUUUUGGCUGCAGCUAAGCAAUCACAUGGUGGAGUGGGGUGUUGCAUCUACCAUAUGAAAACAGUUCAGGUCUGUCCCUGAAAGCCUGCCCAUGGGGCAAGGCCAUAUUGGUGGCCUCUUUGUGCAGCUUCUGUACCAAGGAAGGCCAAUUAUCAUAGUAUUGAAUGAUACCACCCAUGGGGCAUCAUCCAAUGUCUUGCAAUUGCCAGAGUCCCAAGCAUACAAGAAGAACAUAACAUUGUAAAAAUAUAAUGAAGGAUGUGUGGCAGAGGUGUAGAAAUGUGCAAAUGUAAGAGAGAAGAGUGCACAUUGUGGCAGAGAGAAAGAGAGAAGAGAGGGAGAGGGGGCUAAUGUGAGUGCCAUGUGCAAUUUGCAGGAGUUGUCAGCCACAUGUUCCAAACUUUGCAGCCUCUGAGUGUGAGUUGAUUCACUUCAGUCAUUUACACCUGCCCAGCACCCCCCCCCCC
This 1837-nucleotide long non-coding RNA is filed under the name Physcomitrium patens. RNAcentral's name for it is "long non-coding RNA (PPAT_LNC014204)". The record is from RNAcentral. Lineage: Eukaryota; Viridiplantae; Streptophyta; Bryopsida; Funariales; Funariaceae.